This is a long non-coding RNA of Anolis carolinensis (green anole), 815 nucleotides long. RefSeq lists it as uncharacterized. The record is from RefSeq and is a predicted model, not a curated record. Lineage: Eukaryota; Metazoa; Chordata; Lepidosauria; Squamata; Anolidae. The transcript has 2 exons.
CAAAAUACGAAAUCAUGUCAGAGAAUCCAUACUGUACAAACAUUUCUGUGAUCUACAGCAUAGUCCUGAAUCAUUCAAAUACCACAUACUAGAAGUAGUAUCACAAUCCAAACAUAUGGACUUCAAUAAUAAACUUUUGCAAAGGGAAACAUAUUGGAUUUUCAGAUUACGGACAGAACAUCCACAGGGCUUAAAUGAACAAAAUUCAUACAGUUGUUAUAUAUAGAACCUUAGCAUACUAUAAAUCCCUAAUUGAAUACACCCAAUACAAUAAGGGUACUCAUAGCACCAUCUGGUGGUAUUUCUUCUAUAUCUUCAUAUAAACCUUUCUGUUUCUUUAACAUCUUCCCCUUUAAAUUGAGGCAACCCCUUGAUGCUUUUCAUACUCGCAAUUAGAACCUAACACACAGCAGAGUAUCCCGUGAGUAUAUACUGUUUUAGAAAUAUACAAUUUGUUUAAAAACAAAUUUUUGGAUGUUUGUAACUCUUUAAUGCUUAUGGCCACUCCUUGUUCCUUUGACCUAGAUUCCACUGUAAAAAACAGGUAUCUCUAAGGAGAACAAGUGUUAAAUUUGGAACUAUACCACCAGAGGAAGGCCUGAUGCAGGGCCGAAACCGGUCGUGGCGAACUUACUCUUCUCGGCAAUAGAAUAUACAACGCCGAUUGCACUUCAAUGUAUAUUGGACUAUCCAUUUGAGGCUGCUUGUUAUUACUGUGAAUUUAACGCCGACUGCAUUUCUAUGUAUAUGGGACAAUCCAUUUGAUGGUGUUCGAUAUUACUGUGAAUUUAAACAGUAUAUUAAUUUGCCAGAUA